Molecule: non-coding RNA, 312 nt
Filed under: Erinaceus europaeus (western European hedgehog)
Lineage: Eukaryota; Metazoa; Chordata; Mammalia; Eulipotyphla; Erinaceidae
Description: Eukaryotic large subunit ribosomal RNA
Rfam family: Eukaryotic large subunit ribosomal RNA
Source: Rfam by way of RNAcentral
CUGUCAAGAAUAAGAAUGGUGGCUCGCAGGAAAGCAGCUGUGGGGCAAUGAAGGUGAAGGUGGGCUUCGCCCCAGCCGAGGUGGGAUCCUGAGGCCUCUCCAGUCCGCUGAGGGCACACCAACAGUCUGUCUCGCCAACCCCAUCAGGGAGGUGGAACACAAACAUAUGUGUUAGGACCUGAAAGAUGGUGAAAUAUGCCUGGACAAAGCCAGAGGAAACUCAGGUGGAGGUCCAUAGUGGUCCUGACAUGCAAAUUGGUUGUACGACCUGGGUAUAGGGGUGAAAGACUAAUUGAACCAUCUAGUAGCUGG